This is a long non-coding RNA of Equus asinus (donkey), 3351 nucleotides long. The record is from Ensembl. NCBI's taxonomy places the organism in Eukaryota, Metazoa, Chordata, Mammalia, Perissodactyla, Equidae.
CUCCCCACGGCCAGGCCUCUGUCCGGAGGCGCCCUCCGCUGGGAAUCUCACCCUUCCUCUCCCUCUUCGUCGUCCUUGGAGGCCCGAACCCACACCUUCAGGGCUCCUCCCACCGCCCGGCCCGGGCCACCAGGCCGUUAACCUCUGGGGGAAUCCGAGCAGCUCUGCACCUCCUCCCGCCCGGGCCGGGGCGUGACUGUGACCCACGCUGGUAAAACUCAAACAGGGCAGAAGCAUUAAAAUAACCACCCUCGUCCCACAGCCUUGCCUCGCGAAGGAAUCCCGGCCUCCGGUUCGGGAGCAUCCUCCCAGGCCUCCUCCAGAACAUUCGCUCACACACGGAUACUCAGGCUCGCAGACGUAUACGGACGCACACGCAUAUGUACGCCGACACACGUGCACCCAGACUCACAGGAACACGCGGACACGUGGGAACACUGAUUACGUAAAGAGCAUUCCCCCUCCUCAGCUUCCUCUGUCUGUGGACCAGCUCCGCGCACCAGCUCUGAAGGUGUUUCCAUUUGGUGAAGGCACUUGGUGGCCUUGCACGCUGCACGAGUUCUGAGCUUCAGAAUGUGUCACUGCAGGCUGUUGGGUUCAGGAGCCAGUCUCACACAGGCAAAGGGGAGAGGAAAGAAAUAAAGUCCAAAUUUACUUGAGGUGUCCCUUUCUCUGAGCUGAUUCUUGGACAAGUCGACUUAGAGCUGACAUCCAGCUGCCAUUGCAAAGUUCCAGCUGUUCCCUGGCCACAGUCGCUCUGCCACGGUUCUUGUGGAGAAGACCCCAGCAGCGCCUGUCACCUGCGCUCCUGCGUGCUUACAGACAACAAAUGACGAAUGUCAACGACGGCUUCCUGGCACGGCUUCCUCAGCGUGGACAACCUCAGAUGGGGCAGCUCCACUCUUGUCCUACAUAAGUGGGCUUGAAGUCGCGUCAAACCGAGACACAGCAGCCCCGCGUCCCAUGCUGCAGACAUCCACACCCGACUGGGGUGGUUUGUGUGCCGCAUGCGGUUGGAAUUCCUCCCCAGAAACAGGGCAGACUUCUCCAACCGGUUUUUAUUUUGUCCUUAAGCCACAUAUUUGAAAAUUGCUUAAUCAAAGAGGGUCAUGAACUAAAUCUCAGGCCUGGCUCUGGGGCCCCAGGAGGGGAGUUCGUGAACGUGGGCAUCACUGGGCAGCUGAUGGCUCCCUCCGGGUCCCUGUGCACGCCCUGUCUCGGUGGACUGGGUCUCCCACCUGGCCACGGCCAUUGAUUGAGGGCCUACUAUGUGCCAGGCAAGGUCUUGGGUGUUUCCCACAAACGCUCUUGCGCACAACCACCCUGGGAAGGAGGGUGGCUACCCCCACUUUGCAAGUGAGGAAGCUAAAGCUCAGAGAUGAAGUGGCUUGCCCUAGUUCACCCAGCGGGUGAGAGGCAGAGCUGGGAUGUCAGAUGCCAGAUCCCACAUCCUCUGUCUGUGUCCAGAGGCUGUCUGCCCCUCGGGCAGGACGGGAAGACCAAGACCACAGACAUAGUGACCUGUGUCACUGGGAGAGAGCGGAAGAGAGAUGAGCCUCUGGCUCAGGCAGACAAAUCAGGGAAGCUUCUGGGAGGUGGCCCUCGGCCUUGGCAUGAGGGAUCUAGAGAGAGAUGGGAAGGCAUGCAGGAUAAGAGAUUUGUGAAUACAGGGAGGCAGUGGGAGCGAUUGUGGGAUGUGGCUGGAGGAGCGCACUCAGGCAGAUGGGCCAGUGCUGGCCUGGUCUGGGCUCACUGGGACAGACCGGGUGCAGACUGUCCUGGGAGAGAGGCCAGCGUGGGCUGGGCGUGAGGGCCUGCGCCACCAUCUUCCUGCGCACAGCGUCACCGGUGAGAAGUCUGUGGCCAGGCUGACUUGUUCUUUUGGAGGUAAUUUAUUUCCUGUCUCUUCUUGGAGGCUUUCGGGAUUUUUCUCUUUGUUUGGGUGCUCAGAAAUUUCUCUACGGUGUUCCUAGAGGGUGAUGUCUGGCUUUUUUGUUGUUAUUGUUUCAUUUUGUGUUCACUUUUUAAUUAAAGUGUGACGCAUAUAAAACAUACACAUCUUAAGCAUACGGCUCGAGGAGCUUUUACGUUUGUCUCCACUCACGUAACCACCACCUCAGUGCAGAUGCAGACCACUGCUUCCAGGCCCCCUUCCAUCCCCGGAGGAAACGAUUAGUUUUGCCUGUUUUUGGACUGCCUGUGAAUGGGAACAUACAGUUGGGUACUUUUUCAUACUUUUUAAAAAUAAUCUUUUAGAAUUUGAGAACAGCUUUAGAUUUACACAGUUACUGGGAAGAUAAUACGGAGAGUUCUUGCAUACUGAGUGCCCGUUUCCCCUUUUAUUAACAUCUUAGUGCGGUAGAUCUGUGAAAAGUGAUAAACACUGAGACACUGUUACUAACUAGACUCCAUUCUUUAUUUGGAUUUCCUCAGUUUUCCCCUGAUGUCCUUUUUCUGUCCCAAGAUCCCGUCCAGGCCUCCACAGGAUGUUCAGUCGUCAUAGCUUCUCAGGCUCCUGUGGGCUGUGACAGUUGCUCUGACUUGCCUUGUUUGUGAUGAUCUUGGCGGUUUUUCAGAGGACUGGCUGGGUAUUUUGUAUAAUAUUUCUCAACUGGGAUUUGUCUGAUGUUUUUCUCCUGAUUAGUCGAGUUACGGGUUUUGGGGAGGACUGCCACAGAGGCCGUUCUUAGAACAUUGUACUGUGGGGGACUGGCAUUGGCCACCCCAAGAUAUGUCUCUUUGGCACAAGGAUUAUUUGGGGCUGGUUACUUUUAAUAAACUGCAGACAGGAAGGAGGCUCUGAGGAGUGGAACUUGCUUGCCCUUUGUUAGGAGACAUUUACAUUGUAAAGGAAAUCUCCAUCUGUAAAGAUGUCUCCCUCUCUGUACCAGGAAGAAGGGGGGAUGACCUUAUCUUUAGAAACUCUUAAUCAGUGCCAAAGGCAAGGACUUAAAUCUGUGUUUGUUUAUUGUACUUGUCUGGUAACCUCCUGUAACUGACUCCCCCCACCCACAACAUCCUCCUUUGUCUUUAGCUGGAUAUGAUAUUUAAGAUGGGGGCUUCAGCCAUUUUGGCAAGUUGUUCAGCUUGCCUGAGCCUCUCCCAUGUAUACAUGUUAUAAAGCUUUUUAAAAUUUUCUCCUGUUAUUCUGUCUCAUGUGAAUUUAAUUCAUUCUCCGGCCAGACGAACCCAGAGAGGGUAGAGGAAAUGUCUUCCUCCCGUACAGUACCAAGGGUAUGUCCUGUCGACAUGACUGUCCUUGUUGACAUUGACCUUGACCGCCAGGUUGAGGUGUGUUGGUCAGGUUUCUCCGCUGGAAAGUGGAGCCCCCGCCCCUGAGUCCUCUUUGGA